GAUGAACGCUGGCGGCGUGCCUAAUACAUGCAAGUCGAGCGAGCAGACGAGGAGCUUGCUCCUCUGACGUUAGCGGCGGACGGGUGAGUAACACGUGGAUAACCUACCUAUAAGACUGGGAUAACUUCGGGAAACCGGAGCUAAUACCGGAUAAUAUAUUGAACCGCAUGGUUCAAUAGUGAAAGACGGUUUUGCUGUCACUUAUAGAUGGAUCCGCGCCGCAUUAGCUAGUUGGUAAGGUAACGGCUUACCAAGGCAACGAUGCGUAGCCGACCUGAGAGGGUAAUCGGCCACACUGGAACUGAGACACGGUCCAGACUCCUACGGGAGGCAGCAGUAGGGAAUCUUCCGCAAUGGGCGAAAGCCUGACGGAGCAACGCCGCGUGAGUGAUGAAGGUCUUCGGAUCGUAAAACUCUGUUAUUAGGGAAGAACAAAUGUGUAAGUAACUAUGCACGUCUUGACGGUACCUAAUCAGAAAGCCACGGCUAACUACGUG
RNAcentral lists this ribosomal RNA (497 nucleotides) under uncultured bacterium. RNAcentral's name for it is "partial 16S ribosomal RNA". It matches the Rfam family "Bacterial small subunit ribosomal RNA", at positions 28 to 507 of the family's 1533-position model. The record is from RNAcentral.